UACGUAGGGUACUAGCGUUGUCCGGAAUUAUUGGGCGUAAAGAGCUCGUAGGUGGUCUGUCGCGUCUGCUGUGGAAACGCAUCGCUUAACGGUGCGCGUGCAGUGGGUACGGGCGGACUAGAGUGCAGUAGGGGAGUCUGGAAUUCCUGGUGUAGCGGUGAAAUGCGCAGAUAUCAGGAGGAACACCGGUGGCGAAGGCGGGACUCUGGGCUGUUACUGACGCUGAGGAGCGAAAGCAUGGGGAGCGAAC
This 250-nucleotide ribosomal RNA is filed under the name uncultured prokaryote. RNAcentral's name for it is "partial 16S ribosomal RNA". It matches the Rfam family "Bacterial small subunit ribosomal RNA", at positions 524 to 773 of the family's 1533-position model. The record is from RNAcentral.